Molecule: ribosomal RNA, 497 nt
Filed under: uncultured bacterium
Lineage: Bacteria
Description: partial 16S ribosomal RNA
Rfam family: Bacterial small subunit ribosomal RNA
Source: RNAcentral
GAUGAACGCUGGCGGCGUGCCUAAUACAUGCAAGUCGAGCGAACAGACGAGGAGCUUGCUCCUCUGACGUUAGCGGCGGACGGGUGAGUAACACGUGGAUAACCUACCUAUAAGACUGGGAUAACUUCGGGAAACCGGAGCUAAUACCGGAUAAUAUAUUGAACCGCAUGGUUCAAUAGUGAAAGACGGUUUUGCUGUCACUUAUAGAUGGAUCCGCGCCGCAUUAGCUAGUUGGUAAGGUAACGGCUUACCAAGGCAACGAUGCGUAGCCGACCUGAGAGGGUGAUCGGCCACACCGGAACUGAGACACGGUCCAGACUCCUACGGGAGGCAGCAGUAGGGAAUCUUCCGCAAUGGGCGAAAGCUUGACGGAGCAACGCCGCGUGAGUGAUGAAGGUCUUCGGAUCGUAAAACUCUGUUAUUAGGGAAGAACAAAUGUGUAAGUAACUAUGCACGUCCUGACGGUACCUAAUCAGAAAGCCACGGCUAACUACGUG